This is an RNA transcript of Alosa alosa (allis shad), 1708 nucleotides long. It is a transcript of the gene named stonustoxin subunit beta-like, with no coding region annotated. Lineage: Eukaryota; Metazoa; Chordata; Actinopteri; Clupeiformes; Clupeidae. The transcript is spliced from 4 exons. The record is from RefSeq and is a predicted model, not a curated record.
AAGAAUAUUCAGUGAAUAUUCAAGUGACGCUAAACAGCAACUACUCUUACUGACUCUUAGCCUUCUGGGGGACCAAAGAGGGCAGCAUCAAGUGGAUGAGGAGGAUGAGGAAGUCAGAGCUCAUACACCUCUACAAGAAGUACUGGGGGAUCACAAGAGCAGCAUGCAGAAACGGAUUGAGUGCAUAUGUGAAGGACUAGAACAGAGAAAACAAGAUCUACACACAGCUCGACAUCACAGAAGGAGAGAGUGACGUGGUGAAUAACGAGCAUGAAAUUAUACAGAUGGAUAAGCUGUCCCGAAACACACCUGAGACUCCCAUCGACUGUAAUGACAUUUUCAAGGCUUUACCUGGACAAGGCAGACAUAUCAGGACCGUGAUGACCAAGGGCAUUGCUGGCAUUGGAAAGACGGUGUCCGUGCAUAAGUUCAUUCUCGACUGGGCAGAUGAAAAAACUAACCAGGAAGUCCACCUACUGCUUUUUCUUCCUUUCAGAGAGCUGAACUUGCUCAAAGAUGACGAGUUCACUUUUCACAAUCUUCUGCUGAGGUUCCACCCAGAACUGGCAGCACUGAGUGGGAUAUGUUACCGUAACUUGCAGGUGGUGUUCAUCUUUGAUGGCAUAGAUGAAAGUAAACUUCCGUUGAACAAUAAAAACCCAUGUAAUAUAUCUGCCAUUUGCCAUAAUGUUCCUCCCACAGCCUGAGAAAGUGCAGCCUUUCUUCAAGUCACUGUGAGGAUUUGGCCUCCAUUCUCUGCUCCUCGGCCUCCAGCCUAAUGGAGCUGGACCUGAGAGACAACGACCUGCAGGACUCAGGAGUGACGCUGCUCUACUCUGGACUACAGACACACUGGACUACAGACACACACAGGAGAGAGAGAGACAGAAUAACAUCUUCUCUCCUGCAGGUUGUCGUUCUGUGGCGUGACUGAGAAAGGCUGCGAGUUUCUGGCUUCUGCUCUGAGUGCAAACCCCUCCUAUCUGAGAGAGUUGGACCUGAGCUACAAUCACCCAGGAGACACUGGAGUCAAGCUACUCUCUGAGAGAAAGGACUGCAAACUGGACACAACUCAUUGUUGAUCAUGAUGCAGAGUGUUGGCUGAAGUCAGGACUGAAGAAAUAUGCCCAUCAGCUCAAGCUGGACCCCGACACAGCCAACUAUGUGAUUUCCAUCUCUGAGAAUCAGCAGAAGUUAACUACUUCUGACGAGAGCUACCCCGACCACCCUGACAGGAUUAAGAGCUGUGAACAGGUGCUGUGUAGUGAAGGCCUGACUGGACGCUGCUACUAGGAGGCCGAGUGGAAAUUCAACACUGUCUAUGUAGGAGCGGCGUAUAGGAAACAAGGAAUAAAAGAGAGAGACUGUCGUCUGGGACUCAACAACACGUCCUGGGGCCUGCUGUGUCAUCAUUCAUCUAACCUUUUAUAUCAAGACACCUACACUGCCAGCCAUGACCGUAAGACCACCCCCAAAGUUUCACUUACAUUUGACUGCAACAGAGUAGGAGUGUUUCUGGACUGGCCAGCCGGUACUCUGUCCUUCUACAGCGUCUCUUCUGGCACACUCACCCACCUGCACACAUUCCACCACAAAUUCACAGAGCCCCUCUGUCCAGGGUUUGGCUUCCGUUUGUCUUUGACAUCACUUGUAACAGCCAAUGAGGGUUUCAUUUCCCUCUGUCGGGUUUGAGAGGUGUUUAACACAC